AUCCAGCUAACGAGUCCCCAAUAGGACGAAACGCGCGUCCUGGAU
Molecule: non-coding RNA, 45 nt
Organism: Schistosoma rodhaini
Lineage: Eukaryota; Metazoa; Platyhelminthes; Trematoda; Strigeidida; Schistosomatidae
Source: Rfam